AGAUUGAACGCUGGCGGCAGGCCUAACACAUGCAAGUCGAGCGGUAGAGAGGUGCUUGCACCUCUUGAGAGCGGCGGACGGGUGAGUAAUGCCUAGGAAUCUGCCUAGUGGUGGGGGAUAACGUUCGGAAACGGACGCUAAUACCGCAUACGUCCUACGGGAGAAAGCGGGGGACCUUCGGGCCUCGCGCCAUUAGAUGAGCCUAGGUCGGAUUAGCUGGUUGGUGAGGUAAUGGCUCACCAAGGCGACGAUCCGUAACUGGUCUGAGGGAUGAUCAGUCACACUGGAACUGAGACACGGUCCAGACUCCGUACGGGAGGCAGCAGUGGGAAUAGUUGACAAGUGGCGAAAGCCUGAUCCAGCCAUCGCCGCGUGUGUAGAAGGAGGUCUUACGGAUUAGUAAAGCGUAACUUUUUAAGGUAGGGAGGAAGGUUUAGUAACUUAAGUACGUUGACUAACGUUUGACGUUACCCGAUAAGUAACUAAGACACCGGUACUAACGUUCG
RNAcentral lists this ribosomal RNA (506 nucleotides) under uncultured soil bacterium. RNAcentral's name for it is "bacterial SSU rRNA". It matches the Rfam family "Bacterial small subunit ribosomal RNA", at positions 26 to 517 of the family's 1533-position model. The record is from RNAcentral.